GGUUGCCUCUUCCCUUUACCACCUUAACAUAUACUUUGCUGUCGAAACAUGAUUCCUUACUUAGUCAUCAUUUGGCACCUAUAAAUUUAUGUCUCUGCUUGCAUGUCUUAUAUAUAUGCAUUUAUGUGUAGGUUCACAAAGUUUUAGUCAUUUCCAUGAUGAUCUUAUGUGCUUCUUAAACUGCUUGGAUCUGUAGGGAAAUGUACCAGGCAAUGCAGGCAUACUGGUUUUGUUCUUGCCAUUGUAAAAACAAAUAAGAGAGAUAUACAAGCUGGAAACUCUGUGCACUGCUUCUUCUAUGGCGUUUUCUUGGAUAUUCCAGAAGAAACGUUAGAUUUGAAACUGCAGCGAUAAUAACUAAUUCUUUUCUC
Brassica oleracea var. oleracea is the source of this 371-nucleotide long non-coding RNA. RefSeq lists it as uncharacterized. Lineage: Eukaryota; Viridiplantae; Streptophyta; Magnoliopsida; Brassicales; Brassicaceae. The transcript has 2 exons. The record is from RefSeq and is a predicted model, not a curated record.